AUUCCUGCUUUUAAUUUCUCUUUUUUUUUUUUCUUUUUUUUUCG
Molecule: non-coding RNA, 44 nt
Filed under: Climacostomum virens
Lineage: Eukaryota; Ciliophora; Heterotrichea; Heterotrichida; Climacostomidae
Source: RNAcentral